Molecule: ribosomal RNA, 423 nt
Filed under: uncultured bacterium
Lineage: Bacteria
Description: bacterial SSU rRNA
Rfam family: Bacterial small subunit ribosomal RNA
Source: RNAcentral
UCUUCCGCAAUGGACGAAAGUCUGACGGAGCAACGCCGCGUGAGUGAUGAAGGCUUUCGGGACGUAAAACUCUGUUGUUAGGGAAGAACAAGUGCUAGUUGAAUAAGCUGGCACCUUGACGGUACCUAACCAGAAAGCCACGGCUAACUACGUUCCAGCAGCCGCGGUAAUACGAAGGUGGACAGAGUUAUCCGGAAGUAUUGGGCGUAAAGCGCGAGCAGGUGGUUUCUUAAGUCUGAUGUGAAAGCCCACGGCUCAACCGUGGAGGGUCAUUGGAAACUGGGAGACUUGAGUGCAGAAGAGGAAAGUGGAAUUCCAUGUGUAGCGGUGAAAUGCGUAGAGAUAUGGAGGAACACCAGUGGCGAAGGCGACUUUCUGGUCUGUAACUGACACUGAGGCGCGAAAGCGUGGGGAGCAAACAGG